GACGAACGCUGGCGGCGUGCCUAACACAUGCAAGUCGAACGAGGUCCAAGGAAGCUUGCUUCCUGAAGACCUAGUGGCGAACGGGUGAGUAACACGUGAGAAACCUGCCUCGGAGUGGGGAAUAACUCGGGGAAACUCGAGCUAAUACCGCAUACCUUCACAUGAUCGCAUGGUCGAGUGAAGAAAGAAUUUCGCUCUGAGAGGGUCUCGCGGCCUAUCAGCUUGUUGGUGGGGUAACGGCCUACCAAGGCAACGACGGGUAGCUGGUUUGAGAGAAUGAUCAGCCACACUGGGACUGAGACACGGCCCAGACUCCUACGGGAGGCAGCAGUGGGGAAUCUUGCGCAAUGGGCGAAAGCCUGACGCAGCAACGCCGCGUGCGGGAUGACGGCCUUCGUGGUUGUAAACCGCUCUCAGCAGGGACGAAAAUGACGGUACCUGCAGGAAGAAGCCCCGGCGUAACUACGUGCCAGCAGCCGCGGUAAU
RNAcentral lists this ribosomal RNA (486 nucleotides) under uncultured bacterium. Its description in RNAcentral is "bacterial SSU rRNA". It matches the Rfam family "Bacterial small subunit ribosomal RNA", at positions 28 to 524 of the family's 1533-position model. The record is from RNAcentral.